Long non-coding RNA from Gossypium raimondii (Peruvian cotton), 940 nucleotides. RefSeq lists it as uncharacterized. The record is from RefSeq and is a predicted model, not a curated record. The transcript has 2 exons. Lineage: Eukaryota; Viridiplantae; Streptophyta; Magnoliopsida; Malvales; Malvaceae.
AGCCCGAUUUUGGGCCUAGUCGGAACAGUGGUUUCGGGACCACAAAUCUGACAAGGAAAAAAUUUAUUUUUCUUAUAUUUUUAUGGUCUACGAUUUCACGGAAUUAUUUUGUAAAAAUUUUGUUCGAAAAUUUCGACGUUUGGGCACUCAAUUUAGUCAAAAGGACUAAAUUGUAAAAAGUGCAAAAGUUGAGUUCUACAAGUUAGAGGUGUCUAAUUAUUAUGAAAUUUUAAAUUGGAGGUCCUUAAAUGGUAAUUAGACCAUUGGUUAUUUAUGGACAAAAAUAGACAUGGUUAGUAAGUAAGCUAUUUAAGGGCAUUUUGGUAAAAUGCCUUAAUUAAUGAAUAAAGACAAAAUAACAUGAAAUAAAUUAUCAUCUUCUUCAAUUCUUUUCUUCAUGGCCGUAUGUAGCAAGGGAACACCAUGGCUAGGGUUUGUUCAUCUUCCAAGCUUCAUGUCUUAUCCAAAUUGAUUGGCUCAAUUAAAAGAGAAAUGAUAUGGUUUCGAGUCUCUCGGUCUUGAAUGCCGAACCCAUCACCAAACUGAUACAGACAUUGCACCAUACGUGCAACGUUAGUAGUAACCUUAACAAAAGAACAUGGGAGCAAAUUAUGUGAUUGAUUAUUCAAACAUUGCCCAUUUAUUUUCUUCCAUGUAUUGUUGAUCAUGUUCUUGAUAUGUUCUUCAGCUUCUUUCUCUGAAACAUUCAUUUCUCGCGCGUAACAAUGGAUUGAUGAUGGUGCAUCCCCUCUCUCUUUCUCCGCCUGUUACAAUUCAUUCAAUAAUUGUUGUAUCGCUAUAAAAAUUCAUGAUUGAAUUAGUGUCAUGAGAGAAAAAAAUUACCAUUGAAGUUCCUAAAUCGUUGUGAAGUCGUGUUAUGAUGCUGAUGUUGUAAGCAAGAUCUUCAUCUUUUCCCAAUAGAUUGAUAAUUUUUUCAUCA